RNAcentral lists this ribosomal RNA (468 nucleotides) under uncultured bacterium. RNAcentral describes it as "partial 16S ribosomal RNA". It matches the Rfam family "Bacterial small subunit ribosomal RNA", at positions 28 to 507 of the family's 1533-position model. The record is from RNAcentral.
GACGAACGCUGGCGGCGUGCUUAACACAUGCAAGUCGAACGGAAAGGCCCUGCUUUUGUGGGGUGCUCGAGUGGCGAACGGGUGAGUAACACGUGAGUAACCUGCCCUUGACUUUGGGAUAACUUCAGGAAACUGGGGCUAAUACCGGAUAGGAGCUCCUGCUGCAUGGUGGGGGUUGGAAAGUUUCGGCGGUUGGGGAUGGACUCGCGGCUUAUCAGCUUGUUGGUGGGGUAGUGGCUUACCAAGGCUUUGACGGGUAGCCGGCCUGAGAGGGUGACCGGCCACGUUGGGACUGAGAUACGGCCCAGCCUCCUACGGGAGGCAGCAGUGGGGAAUAUUGCACAAUGGGCGGAAGCCUGAUGCAGCAACGCCGCGUGCGGGAUGACGGCCUUCGGGUUGUAAACCGCUUUCGCCUGUGACGAAGCGUGAGUGACGGUAAUGGGUAAAGAAGCACCGGCUAACUACGUG